This 253-nucleotide ribosomal RNA is filed under the name uncultured bacterium. Its description in RNAcentral is "partial 16S ribosomal RNA". It matches the Rfam family "Bacterial small subunit ribosomal RNA", at positions 524 to 776 of the family's 1533-position model. The record is from RNAcentral.
UACGUAGGGCGCAAGCGUUGUCCGGAAUUAUUGGGCGUAAAGAGCUCGUAGGCGGCUUGUCACGUCGGGUGUGAAAGCCCGGGGCUUAACCCCGGGUCUGCAUUCGAUACGGGCUAGCUAGAGUGUGGUAGGGGAGAUCGGAAUUCCUGGUGUAGCGGUGAAAUGCGCAGAUAUCAGGAGGAACACCGGUGGCGAAGGCGGGAUCCUGGGCCAGUACUGACGCUGAGGAGCGAAAGCGUGGGGAGCAAACAGG